This 236-nucleotide ribosomal RNA is filed under the name uncultured bacterium. RNAcentral describes it as "partial 16S rRNA". It matches the Rfam family "Bacterial small subunit ribosomal RNA", at positions 505 to 740 of the family's 1533-position model. The record is from RNAcentral.
GUGCCAGCCGCCGCGGUAAUACGUAGGGUGCGAGCGUUAAUCGGAAUUACUGGGCGUAAAGCGUGCGCAGGCGGUUUUAUAAGACAGAUGUGAAAUCCCCGGGCUUAACCUGGGAACUGCGUUUGUGACUGUAAGACUCGAGUGUGGCAGAGGGGGGUGGAAUUGCAGGUGGAGCAGUGAAAUGCGUAGAGAUGUGGAAGAACACCGAUGGCGAAGGCAGCCCCCUGGGUCAACAC